This 109-nucleotide small RNA is filed under the name Sinomicrobium sp. RNAcentral describes it as "6S RNA". It matches the Rfam family "6S-Flavo RNA". The record is from RNAcentral. Lineage: Bacteria; Pseudomonadati; Bacteroidota; Flavobacteriia; Flavobacteriales; Flavobacteriaceae.
ACUCAACAUUACUUUUUUUUAAAAGGGUGAGUGUAGAUUGUAAAAGCACGCCGUUCUUAUCACGGAUCCUUGAUCAGUCUUGUAGCCCUAAACUUGUUUACUGGGGUUU